UACAGAGGCCCCAAGCAUUACCCGGAAUUGCUGGGCGUAAAGGGUGCGUAGGUGGUCGUAUUAGUCGUCUGUUAAAAACUGGGGCUCAACCCCAGAAGUGCGGGCGAAACGGUACGACUCGAGAGCGUGAGAGGUGCAUAGAACUCUAGGUGCAGGGGUGAAAUCCGUUGAUAUCUAGGGGAAUACCGAAAGCGAAGGCAGUGCACUGGCGCGUUUCUGACACUGAAGCACGAAAGCGUGGGUAGCGAACGGG
This 253-nucleotide ribosomal RNA is filed under the name uncultured bacterium. RNAcentral describes it as "partial 16S ribosomal RNA". It matches the Rfam family "Bacterial small subunit ribosomal RNA", at positions 524 to 776 of the family's 1533-position model. The record is from RNAcentral.